UUGAUAAAAUUAUAAGGAAACUCUUGUGAGUUGUCUUUUGAGUUUGAUUCGUUGAUUUUCCUUUUGUAGGUUAUGUUAAAUAAGAAAAAUAAAUUAUCAUCCAACUCACUGCGAAAAAGAAAGGAUUGGAAUUCAAUGUGGUAUCAGGAUAAUGGAUUGUUUCUUGGUUUCGGAGCACGAACUAGUUUUCUGGAUUGGUUACAGGAUUCCUCGUAGUUUCCGGUCUCUCUUACGGAUUAUACGGGAUUGUCUACAGGAUUCUUCUGAUGGAAAAUUGGACUGCUGUUCUUCGGAUUUCGGGUCUCGGAUGAUCUCGAGGAAGUUUCAGGAGUUCUCGGAAUAGACAUACAUUGGAGUACACGCCAAAUUUCAUCAAUGAGCAAAGUUAGAAAAAUUCAAUUUUAAAUCAAGGAUUUUCUCCUCAAAAUAACGUUAAAACAUCAAAGGAUGGAUGAAAAAUGGGCUUUAGGAGCUGGACUAUAUUAAUUGAUACUUUUGGAAGCAAACUAAACGGUUUUAGAUAAGAUUUCCACCAACAAAAAAUCUCUCUGUCAAAAUUUCAAGGUUAUAUUCUCUCGGUGAACUAAACAAUGGUUAAUUUUAUCACAAUACAUAAGUAAAAGAAAAUAAAUAAACAUCACAAUAUAUAUUGAUAAACACUUACCUGUGAGGUGGGGUAUCGAGUAAGAUAUUAACUACUACAGAUGCUUUAAGCUAUUAAAGGAACAUUUACACAUCGAAUUGGACACUGCCCAGAUGGCAACCAUCCAGGAAUUCAUUCGUGACAAGGCCUGUACCGAGUUUACGUAGCUCGAAAACCACCCCAAUUCCCUCCUAGCGGGAUUAACGGAUUACAACGUUGAACACCUUCGCCCUAAACGGCCAAGGCUGCUUUUCGUCUGACGAUCCAGGAAUCCGACUGUCCUUCCCAAUUCCACUUUCGAUAUCACUAAAUUAAUGAAUACAAUGUUUCCGUUAGUUUUAGGUCCGAUGAAAAGGGCCACGUUCACCGUUCAAGAUCUUUGAUUUGUUUGUUAAUAUCCUCAAAAUAAAGGUUGAUAAUAUAAGUA
This is a non-coding RNA of Onthophagus taurus, 1070 nucleotides long. The record is from RefSeq and is a predicted model, not a curated record. Lineage: Eukaryota; Metazoa; Arthropoda; Insecta; Coleoptera; Scarabaeidae.